GAAAAAUUUAAUAGUUUAGAAGGCAAUGCGGGAGAAAAACUAAUUUAAGGGCCAAGCAAGAGGCAAAUUCAGUAGUUUGGAGGACACGUAGGAACUAAAAGCAGUAUAGAGAUAACAUGGUUUAUAUCUCAAGGACUUGUGGGUGAAGUUGUGUGUUUAUUGCCUAUUGCUCAUUAUAUAUAACUACAUGCAGGUUGCAUCGAUCACUAUUCCAUGUUGGCUGUUGCAAGCUAGCGCAAACUGGAACUCAAACUGACCCCACAGCCACAGGUGACUUUAUCAAACCACCACUUGCUUCACGCGAUUUUCGUUCAUACGUCCAGCUAGCGCGAACGCGUGCUCUCUGUUUGAUAAAAUGCCCAACUGAUAAGUUCAUUCCGUUAUCUCAAUACGGGUCAUUUUUAGCAAGUCUUAUGUAUCUCUUUUCUUCAAUGUUAAGAUUUUGAUGUUUCAAUAGAUCUUAUUUCUCAAUGUCUUGUCAGAUCAAUUUCGUUUCAUAUAAACAUGCAAUGCCCUUUUUUUCCUCGCAAAGGUCGAUCUGUGGGAGUGUCAAUGAGAUGUUCUUGCUUAUUGACAUAGCCCACGAGCAGAGUUAUGAAUGAAAAAAAUUAUUCUUGAACGAGGAAGGAUCCGUUUGUCAUUAAUUGUUGAUGUGAUGUAGAACACACGGCGAACACACGGCAGACACGUUUAUGUCAAAGUGGGACAGUCGUAAGCCCAAAUGCGGGUCUGGUCGAAGAAAAUAACUUGUUUCGAAGAAACGACCAUAAUUUUCAAACCGUACGUCGGAUUUGGAUAAAUUAUAUAUGAAAAUCGAUUAUCUCGACGAGACGGAGCCAUCCAAACCGACCCCUAAGGUUUGCAUCAGAUCGGCCUGCAUCAGUUUGUCGAAGGACGUCAAUAUAUCAGUGGGUUACUUGCAAGUUUUUGUUUCGGCAUUUGUACUCUGACACAUACAGGUAAAUCUUUUUGAGGCUCAACAUCAACAUGCAAUAAUGGUACAAGAGGAGCUGCAAAAAUUCAGUGGAGGGUGAUGGGGCUCGGAAGGAAGAUAGAAAGAAAGAAAGACGGAGAAGGUAUUUGUUCCUAAGUAAUUGGUUUCGGUUUUCCCCUGACUAAUGACCAGGCCAUGGUGAAGGUAUUAUUAGCCCGUGCUAAUUAUUUAGGGACCAAAAAGUCAGAAUUCAUUUUAACCUCCUCUGGAAGUUACCUUGUUUACUUCUUAACUAUCAUCUGAUCAUAUCUAGCAGGAGUGACUGAACAUGCCCAUGUUCAUGGGACCUUUUCUGAGCAGCAUAUUGCCCACCAUUGGUGAAACCAAAUACUGAGGCUCCAUAACUGGAUACAACCCUGUUGGAGACCUAAAGCCUUUGGAGACCUAAAGCCUUUGGAGAAUGACUUGAAGCCCA
Asparagus officinalis (garden asparagus) is the source of this 1409-nucleotide long non-coding RNA. RefSeq lists it as uncharacterized. NCBI's taxonomy places the organism in Eukaryota, Viridiplantae, Streptophyta, Magnoliopsida, Asparagales, Asparagaceae. The record is from RefSeq and is a predicted model, not a curated record. The transcript is spliced from 4 exons.